UUCUGAUUACAGUUUAAUGCAUUUUUCACAAUUUACCAGCCAUCGUUUUGAAGGCUGAACAGACAAGAGUACUAAAGUGUGACGUCACGUUUCCAUAGCAACCGCUUUUCGGUUCUACACAAACCAAAUUAACAAGGGGAAAUCCUAUGCCACACAAAACUUUUAUAGAAAAGGAACGAUUUUUUUGCGAAUUGAUUUGCGAGUUUGCUUUACCAAUGAUGUAAGUAAUAUUGAGAAUAGAUUGUCUUCAUAUA
Long non-coding RNA from Gadus macrocephalus (Pacific cod), 254 nucleotides. RefSeq lists it as uncharacterized. The record is from RefSeq and is a predicted model, not a curated record. The transcript has 2 exons. NCBI's taxonomy places the organism in Eukaryota, Metazoa, Chordata, Actinopteri, Gadiformes, Gadidae.